This 1445-nucleotide ribosomal RNA is filed under the name uncultured organism. RNAcentral's name for it is "16S ribosomal RNA". It matches the Rfam family "Bacterial small subunit ribosomal RNA". The record is from RNAcentral.
CAGGAUGAACGCUAGCUACAGGCUUAACACAUGCAAGUCGAGGGGCAGCAUGGUCUUAGCUUGCUAAGGCCGAUGGCGACCGGCGCACGGGUGAGUAACACGUAUCCAACCUGCCGUCUACUCUUGGACAGCCUUCUGAAAGGAAGAUUAAUACAAGAUGGCAUCAUGAGUCCGCAUGUUCACAUGAUUAAAGGUAUUCCGGUAGACGAUGGGGAUGCGUUCCAUUAGAUAGUAGGCGGGGUAACGGCCCACCUAGUCUUCGAUGGAUAGGGGUUCUGAGAGGAAGGUCCCCCACAUUGGAACUGAGACACGGUCCAAACUCCUACGGGAGGCAGCAGUGAGGAAUAUUGGUCAAUGGGCGAGAGCCUGAACCAGCCAAGUAGCGUGAAGGAUGACUGCCCUAUGGGUUGUAAACUUCUUUUAUAAAGGAAUAAAGUCGGGUAUGGAUACCCGUUUGCAUGUACUUUAUGAAUAAGGAUCGGCUAACUCCGUGCCAGCAGCCGCGGUAAUACGGAGGAUCCGAGCGUUAUCCGGAUUUAUUGGGUUUAAAGGGAGCGUAGAUGGAUGUUUAAGUCAGUUGUGAAAGUUUGCGGCUCAACCGUAAAAUUGCAGUUGAUACUGGAUAUCUUGAGUGCGCGUAAGGCAGGCGGAAUUCGUGGUGUAGCGGUGAAAUGCUUAGAUAUCACGAAGAACUCCGAUUGCGAAGGCAGCUCGCUGAACUGUAACUGACGCUGAUGCUCGAAAGUGUGGGUAUCAAACAGGAUUAGAUACCCUGGUAGUCCACACAGUAAACGAUGAAUACUCGCUGUUUGCGAUAUACUGUAAGCGGCCAAGCGAAAGCGUUAAGUAUUCCACCUGGGGAGUACGCCGGCAACGGUGAAACUCAAAGGAAUUGACGGGGGCCCGCACAAGCGGAGGAACAUGUGGUUUAAUUCGAUGAUACGCGAGGAACCUUACCCGGGCUUAAAUUGCAGAUGAAUUACGGUGAAAGCCGUAAGCCGCAAGGCAUCUGUGAAGGUGCUGCAUGGUUGUCGUCAGCUCGUGCCGUGAGGUGUCGGCUUAAGUGCCAGAACGAGCGCAACCCUUGUUGUCAGUUACUAACAGGUUCCGCUGAGGACUCUGACAAGACUGCCAUCGUAAGAUGUGAGGAAGGUGGGGAUGACGUCAAAUCAGCACGGCCCUUACGUCCGGGGCUACACACGUGUUACAAUGGGGGGUACAGAGGGCCGCUACCACGCGAGUGGAUGCCAAUCCCCAAAACCUCUCUCAGUUCGGACUGGAGUCUGCAACCCGACUCCACGAAGCUGGAUUCGCUAGUAAUCGCGCAUCAGCCACGGCGCGGUGAAUACGUUCCCGGGCCUUGUACACACCGCCCGUCAAGCCAUGGGAGCCGGGGGUACCUGAAGUGCGUAACCGCGAGGAGCGCCCUAGGGUAAAACUGGUGA